GACGAACCGUGCAAACGUUGUUCGGAAUCACUGGGCUUAAAGGGCGCGUAGGCGGGCGGUCAAGUCAGGGGUGAAAUCUUUCGGCUCAACCGGAAAAGUGCCCUUGAUACUGACGGUCUGGAGGGAGGUAGGGGCGUGCGGAACUUCCGGUGGAGCGGUGAAAUGCGUAGAUAUCGGAAGGAACACCGGUGGCGAAAGCGGCGCGCUGGACCUCUACUGACGCUGAGGCACGAAGGUCAGGGGAGCAAACGGG
RNAcentral lists this ribosomal RNA (253 nucleotides) under uncultured bacterium. Its description in RNAcentral is "partial 16S ribosomal RNA". It matches the Rfam family "Bacterial small subunit ribosomal RNA", at positions 524 to 776 of the family's 1533-position model. The record is from RNAcentral.